RNAcentral lists this long non-coding RNA (340 nucleotides) under Lepisosteus oculatus (spotted gar). RNAcentral describes it as "lncRNA (ENSLOCG00000021087.1)". Lineage: Eukaryota; Metazoa; Chordata; Actinopteri; Semionotiformes; Lepisosteidae. The record is from RNAcentral.
UCUGCACUGGCCUUACCCACAACGCGACACCUGUCGACUGCACACCCACAGCUCUCCUGCCUGCUUCAGCUCAAGGACUUUUCCGAGGCUCAGUGGAAACGAAAUCCUGUUCUACGGCAACCGUCUCCGUCUGAAUUCAUUUGUUACCUCUGCAGCCAGUCACAUCUUUUAUAAUUACUGUCGCCAAGGCUGUUGGUGUCUUUUUCUAUUCAGUGGAAGUGGAUUUGAAGCAGCCAGAUCUGCUGUGAUCCUCAGAGGGCGAGUCUGGAGCGUUCAUCCUGCCUUGAAAUGAAUGAAAAGUAAUACAUAAUUAAAUAUCAUAUUUAUAUAAAUACACAGA